CAGUCGCCACGGGAAUACGUAGGUGGCAAGCGUUGUCCGGAAUUAUUGGGCGUAAAGGGCUCGCAGGCGGUUUCUUAAGUCUGAUGUGGAAGCCCCCGGCUCAACCGGGGAGGGUCAUUGGAAACUGGGAAACUUGAGUGCAGAAGAGGAGAGUGGAAUUCCACGUGUAGCGGUGAAAUGCGUAGAGAUGUGGAGGAACACCAGUGGCGAAGGCGACUCUCUGGUCUGUAACUGACGCUGAGGAGCGAAAGCGUGGGGAGCGAACAGGAUUAGAUACCCGAGUAGUCCCUGUCUCUUAUAC
Molecule: ribosomal RNA, 301 nt
Filed under: uncultured bacterium
Lineage: Bacteria
Description: partial 16S ribosomal RNA
Rfam family: Bacterial small subunit ribosomal RNA
Source: RNAcentral